RNAcentral lists this long non-coding RNA (215 nucleotides) under Ananas comosus (pineapple). Its description in RNAcentral is "long non-coding RNA (ACOM_LNC044594)". The record is from RNAcentral. Lineage: Eukaryota; Viridiplantae; Streptophyta; Magnoliopsida; Poales; Bromeliaceae.
CUUGUGCGACGCCGUGCAAAUACAGGGGAGACUCUGUCCAUGUGAACAGUGGAUUUUCUGUAUUUGUGGCGGAUCUGGCAUACUCUGGGGUCAGGUUUUCAAAAAAAAAAAAAAAAAUUCAGACGCUUUUCCGCUUUGUUUUAAACUGAAAAGGGACCCCGGGGCGUGACAUCACAUCGAAGAUAAAUGACGGUAAAUAAAGUGUGUUUCACAAU